AACUUUCAACAACGGAUCAUCGAAUCUUUGAACGCACAUUGCGCCCGCUAGUAUUCUGGCGGGCAUGCCUGUCCGAGCGUCA
This 82-nucleotide ribosomal RNA is filed under the name Phaeomoniella chlamydospora. Its description in RNAcentral is "5.8S ribosomal RNA". It matches the Rfam family "5.8S ribosomal RNA", at positions 69 to 154 of the family's 154-position model. From Rfam's summary of the family: 5.8S ribosomal RNA (5.8S rRNA) is a component of the large subunit of the eukaryotic ribosome. It is transcribed by RNA polymerase I as part of the 45S precursor that also contains 18S and 28S rRNA. Functionally, it is thought that 5.8S rRNA may be involved in ribosome translocation. Lineage: Eukaryota; Fungi; Ascomycota; Eurotiomycetes; Phaeomoniellales; Phaeomoniellaceae. The record is from Rfam by way of RNAcentral.